GACGAACGCUGGCGGCGUGCUUAACACAUGCAAGUCGAACGGAAAGGCCCCUUUGGGGGUACUCGAGUGGCGCACGGGUGAGUAACACGUGAGUAACCUGCCCUUGACUUCGGGAUAACUUCAGGAAACUGGGGCUAAUACCGGAUAGGAAUCCUUGCUGCACGGUGGGGGUUGGAAAGCUUCGGCGGUUUUGGAUGGACUCGCGGCUUAUCAGCUUGUUGGUGGGGUAGUGGCUUACCAAGGCUUUGACGGGUAGCCGGCCUGAGAGGGCGACCGGCCACAUUGGGACUGAGAUACGGCCCAGACUCCUACGGGAGGCAGCAGUGGGGAAUAUUGCACAAUGGGCGGAAGCCUGAUGCAGCAACGCCGCGUGCGGGAUGACGGCCUUCGGGUUGUAAACCGCUUUCAGCAGGGGCGAAGCUUGUGGUGACGGUACCUGCAGAAGAAGCACCGGCUAACUACGUG
This 465-nucleotide ribosomal RNA is filed under the name uncultured bacterium. Its description in RNAcentral is "partial 16S ribosomal RNA". It matches the Rfam family "Bacterial small subunit ribosomal RNA", at positions 28 to 507 of the family's 1533-position model. The record is from RNAcentral.